AGGUAUCAGAGCAAGAACCACAUGGACAGGAGGUCGGCUGUGAUCUAGGACCAGUAUUCAGGUAUCAGAGCCAGAACCACAUGGACCGGAGGUCGGCUGUGAUCUAAGACCAGUAGUCCCAGUAGUCCCAGUAGUCCCUCAGGUAUCAGAGCGAGAACUGCAUGGACCGGAGGUCGGCUGUGAUCUAGGACCAGUAGUCCCAGUAGUCCCUCAGGUAUCAGAGCCAGAACCACAUGGACCGGAGGUCGGUUGUGAUCUAGGACCAGAAUUUGCCAAUAUCUAUCCCCUCCCCGGGUGUUUUCAUUGAUUUUUUUCAUACUUUUUUUGCA
This is a long non-coding RNA of Eurytemora carolleeae, 329 nucleotides long. RefSeq lists it as uncharacterized. NCBI's taxonomy places the organism in Eukaryota, Metazoa, Arthropoda, Copepoda, Calanoida, Temoridae. The record is from RefSeq and is a predicted model, not a curated record. The transcript is spliced from 4 exons.